UACGUAGGGUGCAAGCGUUGUCCGGAAUUAUUGGGCGUAAAGAGCUCGUAGGCGGCUUGUCGCGUCGGCUGUGAAAACCUGGGGCUCAACCCCGGGCCUGCAGCCGAUACGGGCAAGCUAGAAUUCGGUAGGGGAGACUGGAAUUCCUGGUGUAGCGGUGAAAUGCGCAGAUAUCGUAAGGAAGACCAGUGGCGAAGGCGGGUCUCUGGACAGUUCCUGACGCUGAGGAGCGAAAGCGUGGGGAGCGAACAGG
This 253-nucleotide ribosomal RNA is filed under the name uncultured bacterium. RNAcentral's name for it is "partial 16S ribosomal RNA". It matches the Rfam family "Bacterial small subunit ribosomal RNA", at positions 524 to 776 of the family's 1533-position model. The record is from RNAcentral.